This 270-nucleotide ribosomal RNA is filed under the name uncultured archaeon. RNAcentral's name for it is "partial 16S ribosomal RNA". It matches the Rfam family "Archaeal small subunit ribosomal RNA", at positions 477 to 747 of the family's 1478-position model. The record is from RNAcentral.
CUGCAGCUCAAGUGGUGAUCAUUAUUAUUGGGCCUAAAACGUCCGUAGCCGGUUUAGUAAAUGCCUGGGUAAAUCGUGUAGCUUAACUAUACGACUUCCGGGUAGACUGCUAAACUUGAGACCGGGAGAGGCUAGAGGUACUCCUGGGGUAGAGGUGAAAUUCUGUAAUCCUAGAGGGACCACCAGUGGCGAAGGCGUCUAGCUAGAACGGGUCUGACGGUGAGGGACGAAGCCCUGGGGCACAAACCGGAUUAGAUACCCGAGUAGUCC